UGAGGAAUAUUGGUCAAUGGGCGAGAGCCUGAACCAGCCAAGUAGCGUGCAGGAUGACGGCCCUAUGGGUUGUAAACUGCUUUUGUAAGGGAACAAAGUGCGGGACGCGUCCCGUUUUGCGUGUACCUUAUGAAUAAGGACCGGCUAAUUCCGUGCCAGCAGCCGCGGUAAUACGGAAGGUCCGGGCGUUAUCCGGAUUUAUUGGGUUUAAAGGGAGCGUAGGCCGGAGAUUAAGCGUGUUGUGAAAUGUAGUGGCUCAACCUCUGCACUGCAGCGCGAACUGGUCUUCUUGAGUACGCACAACGUGGGCGGAAUUCGUGGUGUAGCGGUGAAAUGCUUAGAUAUCACGAAGAACUCCGAUUGCGAAGGCAGCUCACGGGAGCGCAACUGACGCUGAAGCUCGAAAGUGCGGGUAUCGAACAGGAUUAGAUACCCUGGUAGU
RNAcentral lists this ribosomal RNA (442 nucleotides) under uncultured Prevotella sp. RNAcentral's name for it is "bacterial SSU rRNA". It matches the Rfam family "Bacterial small subunit ribosomal RNA", at positions 355 to 794 of the family's 1533-position model. The record is from RNAcentral. Lineage: Bacteria; Pseudomonadati; Bacteroidota; Bacteroidia; Bacteroidales; Prevotellaceae.